AAUGAACGCUGGCGGCAUGCCUAACACAUGCAAGUCGAACGAAGGCUUCGGCCUUAGUGGCGCACGGGUGCGUAACGCGUGGGAAUCUGCCCUCAGGUUCGGAAUAACAGCGAGAAAUUGCUGCUAAUACCGGAUGAUAUCGCGAGAUCAAAGAUUUAUCGCCUGAGGAUGAGCCCGCGUAGGAUUAGCUAGUUGGUGUGGUAAAGGCGCACCAAGGCGACGAUCCUUAGCUGGUCUGAGAGGAUGAUCAGCCACACUGGGACUGAGACACGGCCCAGACUCCUACGGGAGGCAGCAGUGGGGAAUAUUGGACAAUGGGCGAAAGCCUGAUCCAGCAAUGCCGCGUGAGUGAUGAAGGCCUUAGGGUUGUAAAGCUCUUUUACCCGGGAUGAUAAUGACGUACCGGGAGAAUAAGCUCGCAC
This 422-nucleotide ribosomal RNA is filed under the name Sphingomonas sp. oral taxon 003. Its description in RNAcentral is "bacterial SSU rRNA". It matches the Rfam family "Bacterial small subunit ribosomal RNA", at positions 29 to 497 of the family's 1533-position model. Lineage: Bacteria; Pseudomonadati; Pseudomonadota; Alphaproteobacteria; Sphingomonadales; Sphingomonadaceae. The record is from RNAcentral.